This 467-nucleotide ribosomal RNA is filed under the name uncultured bacterium. Its description in RNAcentral is "partial 16S ribosomal RNA". It matches the Rfam family "Bacterial small subunit ribosomal RNA", at positions 28 to 507 of the family's 1533-position model. The record is from RNAcentral.
GACGAACGCUGGCGGCGUGCUUAACACAUGCAAGUCGAACGGAAAGGCCCUGCUCUUGUGGGGUGCUCGAGUGGCGAACGGGUGAGUAACACGUGAGUAACCUGCCCUUGACUUUGGGAUAACUUCAGGAAACUGGGGCUAAUACCGGAUAGGAGCUCCUGCUGCAUGGUGGGGGUUGGAAAGUUUCGGCGGUUGGGAUGGACUCGCGGCUUAUCAGCUUGUUGGUGGGGUAGUGGCUUACCAAGGCUUUGACGGGUAGCCGGCCUGAGAGGGUGACCGGCCACAUUGGGACUGAGAUACGGCCCAGACUCCUACGGGAGGCAGCAGUGGGGAAUAUUGCACAAUGGGCGGAAGCCUGAUGCAGCAACGCCGCGUGCGGGAUGACGGCCUUCGGGUUGUAAACCGCUUUCGCCUGUGACGAAGCGUGAGUGACGGUAAUGGGUAAAGAAGCACCGGCUAACUACGUG